RNAcentral lists this ribosomal RNA (492 nucleotides) under uncultured bacterium. RNAcentral describes it as "partial 16S ribosomal RNA". It matches the Rfam family "Bacterial small subunit ribosomal RNA", at positions 29 to 507 of the family's 1533-position model. The record is from RNAcentral.
AGUGAACGCUGGCGGUAGGCCUAACACAUGCAAGUCGAACGGCAGCACAGUAAGAGCUUGCUCUUACGGGUGGCGAGUGGCGGACGGGUGAGGAAUACAUCGGAAUCUACUUUUUCGUGGGGGAUAACGUAGGGAAACUUACGCUAAUACCGCAUACGACCUACGGGUGAAAGCAGGGGAUCUUCGGACCUUGCGCGAUUGAAUGAGCCGAUGUCGGAUUAGCUAGUUGGCGGGGUAAAGGCCCACCAAGGCGACGAUCCGUAGCUGGUCUGAGAGGAUGAUCAGCCACACUGGAACUGAGACACGGUCCAGACUCCUACGGGAGGCAGCAGUGGGGAAUAUUGGACAAUGGGCGCAAGCCUGAUCCAGCCAUACCGCGUGAGUGAAGAAGGCCUUCGGGUUGUAAAGCCCUUUUGUUGGGAAAGAAAAGCAGCAGGUUAAUACCCCGCUGUUCUGACGGUACCUAAAGAAUAAGCACCGGCUAACUUCGUG